This 246-nucleotide long non-coding RNA is filed under the name Rhinopithecus bieti (black snub-nosed monkey). Its description in RNAcentral is "lncRNA (ENSRBIG00000045107.1)". Lineage: Eukaryota; Metazoa; Chordata; Mammalia; Primates; Cercopithecidae. The record is from RNAcentral.
AUGGAAAAACUCAGAAUUAAUGAAGAAAUAAAACUUCUAAAAUGGCAGCAGGAAAGAAUUGACAAGGAGCUUGAUAGACUCCAAGCAAAGGCUACCAAGAAACCUCACGAAGUGAAACAGGACUUUGAGAAGUUCCUACAUGAACUGCGUUCUGAAGCUGAAAUUGAGAGAGAAUGUGUGGCAUCACUGUCGUCGUCAUCAUCAUCAUCAACAGAGAACUACAACUUUGAGGAAGAAGAGUACUAA